RNAcentral lists this long non-coding RNA (216 nucleotides) under Elaeis guineensis (African oil palm). RNAcentral describes it as "long non-coding RNA (EGUI_LNC008969)". The record is from RNAcentral. Lineage: Eukaryota; Viridiplantae; Streptophyta; Magnoliopsida; Arecales; Arecaceae.
AUGGGCUUCUUAAAGUAUUUCUUGUUUGAGUACUGAAUCAUUGGGUAUGCAAAUUUUAUUUUCGAAUCUCAAUAAACCAUCAUCAUGUAUCUUAAAUUCAGAUUGAAUACCAACUUUCACUGAAUCUCUUAUUUUCAUUAAUUGUAGAUCACCAUUCUAGGCUACUUUAAUUCUUUCAAUGUGUUGGCUGAACCCUCAUGUUGGCUAAUCGUACUG